UUCGGAAUCUUGAGAGCGGCGCACGGGUGCGGAACACGUGUGCAACCUGCCUUUAUCUGGGGGAUAGCCUUUCGAAAGGAAGAUUAAUACCCCAUAAUAUAUUGAGUGGCAUCACUUGAUAUUGAAAACUCCGGUGGAUAGAGAUGGGCACGCGCAAGAUUAGAUAGUUGGUGAGGUAACGGCUCACCAAGUCAAUGAUCUUUAGGGGGCCUGAGAGGGUGAUCCCCCACACUGGUACUGAGACACGGACCAGACUCCUACGGGAGGCAGCAGUGAGGAAUAUUGGACAAUGGGUGAGAGCCUGAUCCAGCCAUCCCGCGUGAAGGACGACUGCCCUAUGGGUUGUAAACUUCUUUUAUACUGGGAUAAACCUACCCUUCGUGAGGGUAGCUGAAGGUACAGUAUGAAUAAGCACCGGCUAACUCCGUGCCAGCAGCCGCGGUAAUACGGAGGGUGCAAGCGUUAUCCGGAUUUAUUGGGUUUAAAGGGUCCGUAGGCGGACUCGUAAGUCAGUGGUGAAAUCUCAUAGCUUAACUAUGAAACUGCCAUUGAUACUGCGGGUCUUGAGUAAAGUAGAAGUGGCUGGAAUAAGUAGUGUAGCGGUGAAAUGCAUAGAUAUUACUUAGAACACCAAUUGCGAAGGCAGGUCACUAUGUUUUAACUGACGCUGAUGGACGAAAGCGUGGGGAGCGAACAGGAUUAGAUACCCUGGUAGUCCACGCCGUAAACGAUGCUAACUCGUUUUUGGGUUUUCGGAUUCAGAGACUAAGCGAAAGUGAUAAGUUAGCCACCUGGGGAGUACGUUCGCAAGAAUGAAACUCAAAGGAAUUGACGGGGGCCCGCACAAGCGGUGGAUUAUGUGGUUUAAUUCGAUGAUACGCGAGGAACCUUACCAAGGCUUAAAUGGGAAUUGACAGGUUUAGAAAUAGAUCCUUCUUCGGACAAUUUUCAAGGUGCUGCAUGGUUGUCGUCAGCUCGUGCCGUGAGGUGUUAGGUUAAGUCCUGCAACGAGCGCAACCCCUGUCACUAGUUGCCAUCAUUCAGUUGGGGACUCUAGUGAGACUGCCUACGCAAGUAGAGAGGAAGGUGGGGAUGACGUCAAAUCAUCACGGCCCUUACGCCUUGGGCCACACACGUAAUACAAUGGCCGGUACAGAGGGCAGCUACUAUGCGAAUAGAUGCGAAUCUCGAAAGCCGGUCUCAGUUCGGAUUGGAGUCUGCAACUCGA
Molecule: ribosomal RNA, 1228 nt
Filed under: Chryseobacterium aquaticum
Lineage: Bacteria; Pseudomonadati; Bacteroidota; Flavobacteriia; Flavobacteriales; Weeksellaceae
Description: bacterial SSU rRNA
Rfam family: Bacterial small subunit ribosomal RNA
Source: RNAcentral